Molecule: ribosomal RNA, 469 nt
Filed under: uncultured Methanomicrobiales archaeon
Lineage: Archaea; Methanobacteriati; Methanobacteriota; Methanomicrobia; Methanomicrobiales
Description: bacterial SSU rRNA
Rfam family: Archaeal small subunit ribosomal RNA
Source: RNAcentral
CGGGGAGCACCACAAGAGGUGGAGGCUGCGGUUCAAUUGGACUCAACGCCGGAAAACUCACCAGAUAAGACAGCUGAAUGAUAGUCGGGCUGAAGACUCUACUUGACUAGCUGGGAGGAGGUGCAUGGCCGUCGUCAGUUCGUACUGUGAAGCAUCCUGUUAAGUCAGGCAACGAGCGAGACCCACGCCAACAGUUGCCAGCUCGUCCUCCGGGAUGGUGGGGACACUGUUGGGACCGCCUCUGCUAAAGAGGAGGAAGGAAUGGGCAACGGUAGGUCAGCAUGCCCCGAAUUAUCUGGGCUACACGCGGGCUACAAUGGGUGGGACAAUGGGUAUCGACACCGAAAGGUGAAGGCAAUCUCCUAAACCCAUCCGUAGUUCGGAUUGUGGGCUGCAACUCGCCCACAUGAAGCUGGAAUCUGUAGUAAUCGUGUCUCAAAAUGGCACGGUGAAUAUGUCCCUGCUCCUU